RNAcentral lists this ribosomal RNA (253 nucleotides) under uncultured bacterium. RNAcentral describes it as "partial 16S ribosomal RNA". It matches the Rfam family "Bacterial small subunit ribosomal RNA", at positions 524 to 776 of the family's 1533-position model. The record is from RNAcentral.
UACGGGGGGGGCAAGCGUUGUUCGGAAUUACUGGGCGUAAAGGGCUUGUAGGUGGCCAACUAAGUCAGACGUGAAAUCCCUCAGCUUAACUGGGGAACUGCGUCUGAUACUGGAUGGCUUGGAUUCGGGAGAGGAAUGCGGAAUUCCAGGUGUAGCGGUGAAAUGCGUAGAUAUCUGGAGGAACACCGGUGGCGAAGGCGGCAUUCUGGACCGAUAUUGACGCUGAGGAGCGAAAGCCAGGGGAGCAAACGGG